AAAAAUAAAAAAUUAUAGAAAGUAAUAGAAAAAAGAAAAUGCGGGAAAGAGUACCUCUUAAAACACCCCUACAACCUCAAAAGGCAAAAUAUUUUUUUCCCUCUUUCAGAUCUCUAAAUUUUCGAUUUUAAUUUGCCGGAGUACUCAUCGGAAAAAAGUAUGAACGCCGCUGAAAAUAGCCGGCGCUGGGACCGGCGAGACAAUACUAGAUUUUUGAAGAAGCAGAAACUCAUACUUAACUCAGAAGAACAACUCAAAUCUAAGCUCGGAUUUGAUGUCUUCACUGAAGGGAAUAAAUGACUCAGCUGACUUCUUACUCUUUCCUCUGUACUAUGGCUCCUAGAGUUCCACCAUCCAGAGGCAGAGGCUGAAGCCAAUGUGUCGGGCAAGCACAAAGUUCUAAUCCACCGGCUCGUAACACCAGGUAGAAUCGUCAACUGGUAGUUUCUUCAUCCUCCUCUGCUGAAGAGGUGGUUCAGAGUAGUAGCAGCAACACCUCUAUUUCUAUUUCGCUUGAAGUGGGGGUUGAAACUUCUAACCUUUUUCAAAUGGAGGUUCAUGAAAAAGAGGAUCCCAAUGUCAUUUGACAAAAGGAUCAGCAGUUCAGGGAAGCAAUCAGAUGGCAAGUGUCGGGUGCUAGUAAGAUUUUCAACGAAGGGCUGGAACCAACAGACAGGUCACAAAUCAAAAGGGCGAUUUUCGAGGAGCACCAGAUUAUUACUACAACCUUUUAUGAAUAUCCUGAAAUCGAGCGCAGGUUCAACGAGUAUCACUUACAAUGGAUGAGUAGGCCACUAGGUUCGUACCAACCUAACUUUGUUCAGGAAUUCUUCGCCGAUUAUUUGGCAUGCUAAACAAGGAUCUGCCGAAAGGUAAAGUAGCUGCUGACAGAAGCAAGCUCACAACAGUUCCCGUGCGCGGAGUCGAUAUCGAUAUUUUAUCACGAACUCUGAACAGGUUCUUAUUUGGGCCUAAAUAUUAGAUUCCCGAGCUAGUUCCUGAGUUAGAGUAUCGGCUUUCUACAUAGACCACACAAAAUCCAUGGUUAGCCAGGAUCCUGACUGACGAAGGCGAGCCUAUAUGGUUUUAUGACCCCCCUACACACAUAUCAAAGAAAUGCUUAAGCUUCAGGGCAAAGUUCUGGGGGGCGAUCGUGUCACUGAGGUUGACACCUACAAGAGGUGAUGAUAGAUUAGAGCUCACUCGGGCUGUGAUCGUUGCUGCUUUAAUCGAGGGUUUUAUAGUGGAUUUUGGCCAUAUUAUCUCUGAUGAGAUGUUCUUCCGGACGCACAGGACUAUGACUGCCUUACCAUUUCCAUGCCUCAUCACCUAGCUGUGUAAGAGGGCAAAUGUUUCUUUGAUUAGUGGAGUAGAUAAUGAAGUUCCUGCACUGCACAAGCAGGACAUUGAAAAGACAAAGGACGACUCGCGGUUCAAUUUGAGGAAAAACAGGCAGCCACUUUAGCAGACUCAGUCCACUCCAAUGCUCGAGCCAUACGAUUUUUCUAAAGGUAUGCCCAUGCCUAUAACUAUUUAUGCACCUCCUACCACUUCUACAGGUUCAGCUUCCAUGCCUUUGGGUGGGAUCCUCAACUCUGCAUCUGUCCCACCCCUACCUAUUGAUUACAGACUGAACCCUGAAAACUUUUCAAAGACUGUAAAGACUGUCCGAAAGGUGGAGAAACAGAUUGUACUUUGGGGCAAAGAUUUCAAUCCUUUUAUGGAGAAAAUUAUUGCGGAUGUAUUACGCCCAUUUCAAAAUAUCCAACUUCGGUAGGACAAUAUGGAGGAGCGGAUAAACAAAAACAUUGAUGCUAUGUCCAUUCCGGAUUUUGCCUAAUUGAUUGAGGAAGUUUGGCGACUCUGGGAAGAUGUUGAUAGGAUACAGCAGCAGCCAUAGCAGUCCACCCUUGAUCCAGUUCAGAUUCUUAGCGAUGAUGACAAAGGCUUGGUUGAUUUGUUUGGGUGUCCAAUCAAGGACAAAGGUAAGAAGGCAGUGGAGAUGGAUGAGCAAACUGAAAGGGCAACCAGGAAAUCUGCUAAGAGAGAGGAGCAAAAACACAGAAUGGCGGAAAUGACACCUCAGGAACUGGAAUAAUUUCAAAUGGACUGGGCAACUAAAAAGUCAAAAAAGACAACUGAACCAGAGGAUAAAAGGCACCGGGAUGCAUCCACUGGAAUGUCUACUAGUGCGACCCCAGUUAGGGGGCCAAAUUCAAACCCUAUUUCACACCUUGUUCGAGUUGAUAGACCUCCAACCACGGAGGAUGAGAUUGUGAGUACUCCCACCACCAUGGGGUUCAACGUUGUUACCGGUGAGGCCACUGGGGACUCACCUCAUUUGAUCCAAGUCAAAUUGUGAGUAAGCAUACGACCCUGGUCUAGUUAGAUGUCUAAGUAGAUAAUGUGCAACUCAACUGACUGCAACAGUAUAAGUUGAGGGUGGCUGAUGCUGGUACUUGCAUAAUUUAAAAAAUAAAUUAGUUGGGCUACUGGGAUGAUGUUGAAAUGACAUAAAUAAAUAAAGCUUUAGUGUUGGUGAGUAGCUACCUAGAAGGGUAAAAGAGAGUGAGUCUAGCCAUGUCGUCCCAAAUAGCAAUCUUCACCAAGCCCAAAACCUUAUUUGUAAUCCUAAAAAGUCCUACUUGAUCUUGGCGAGUUAGUUAUAAAGAAACAUUAGAUGAUAUGGGCAAGCUUAUGGGUGCGCAUUAUGUUUGCAACUUCUGUUCUGAGAAUGAGAGUCUUAGGUUUAUCCACAAAUUAAUUAUAUAUAAUGAGAGGUGGAUUUAUUUGGCUAUGAGAGCACACAAGUUAUCCUUAGACUGUUGAUUUCUUUGGGUAUUGUAUCUAUGGCCAUAAAUAUGCUGAGUAGUAGUUGAUGCCAGUUAUAGAUCUUUAUGUGUCAAAGCAUUUAUCCCAAUGGGCGGUUGAAUAAUUCUAUAGCUGUGUUGACAUGACUGUUCCUGUCAAUUUGUUGUUCGUAUGUGCAAAAAUGGUGUGAGUUGCUUGAGGACGAAAUUGUCUUAAGUUGAGGGUGUUGAUAUUCCGGCUUCCGAUGGAAUAUCUUAGGCUUUUUUCGUAAGAAAAAUGCAUAUUUUCGAGAAACUAAUGUUGUAUUUGAUAUUGUAUUUAAGUGUUUUCAGGACAAAAGCCAAGUGGGAUGAAUUACUUAAGAAAAUGGGAAAAACCAGAAGAAAAUGACAUACGACGGUGCGUUCGACGGAUUGUCGUAACCUCGUCGGACCGUCGGGACCCACCAUUGCACAGGAGCUGAAGACCAGGCCACUGGAAUCAUGUGACGAUGGCAUGCAAUGGACCGUCGGACUUACGACGGUCCAUCGAAAGACACCGUCGCGGCUGAGCAGAAUCUAUCAACACUGGAAUCAAGCGACGGUCGUGUGCGAUGGGCCGUCGGACAUGCGACAGACCGUCGAUGUGCACCAUUGCACUUGAAGCAAUGAAUUUCAAUUUUGAAAUAUGAAACCCUGAUUUCAAGAGUCUUAUAAAUACUAUGUGGUAGGGUUUAUUUUAGACAUUCUUACAUUAUUCAUUAUUAUCUUCCACACUUUCUUAGCCUCCUUCUUAGCUUAGUGUUUUUCUUUCAUUCCCGCCUACAACUUUUCUUUUGGGGGCUAGAUCUGUGAUCUACAUUUCUAGAUCUAGCUCUCUACCCUUCUUUUGUAUCUUGUUUUUCUACUUCUUUUGUAACUUAGCAUAUUGUGGGGAGUAAGCUUUAGCUUUGGCAUUUAAUCAUUUCAUUU
This is a long non-coding RNA of Capsicum annuum, 3761 nucleotides long. RefSeq lists it as uncharacterized. The transcript has 2 exons. Lineage: Eukaryota; Viridiplantae; Streptophyta; Magnoliopsida; Solanales; Solanaceae. The record is from RefSeq and is a predicted model, not a curated record.